RNAcentral lists this ribosomal RNA (425 nucleotides) under uncultured bacterium. RNAcentral's name for it is "partial 16S ribosomal RNA". It matches the Rfam family "Bacterial small subunit ribosomal RNA", at positions 354 to 796 of the family's 1533-position model. The record is from RNAcentral.
GUGGGGAAUCUUGCGCAAUGGGCGAAAGCCUGACGCAGCCAUGCCGCGUGAAUGAUGAAGGUCUUAGGAUUGUAAAAUUCUUUCACCGGGGACGAUAAUGACGGUACCCGGAGAAGAAGCUCCGGCUAACUUCGUGCCAGCAGCCGCGGUAAUACGAAGGGGGCUAGCGUUGUUCGGAAUUACUGGGCGUAAAGGGCGCGUAGGCGGACAGCUUAGUCAGAGGUGAAAGCCCAGGGCUCAACCUUGGAAUUGCCUUUGAUACUGGCUGUCUUGAGUUUGGGAGAGGUGAGUGGAACUCCGAGUGUAGAGGUGAAAUUCGUAGAUAUUCGGAAGAACACCAGUGGCGAAGGCGACUCACUGGCCCAAUACUGACGCUGAGGCGCGAAAGCGUGGGGAGCAAACAGGAUUAGAAACCCCGGUAGUCC